This 483-nucleotide ribosomal RNA is filed under the name uncultured bacterium. Its description in RNAcentral is "partial 16S ribosomal RNA". It matches the Rfam family "Bacterial small subunit ribosomal RNA", at positions 30 to 507 of the family's 1533-position model. The record is from RNAcentral.
UUGAACGCUGGCGGCAGGCCUAACACAUGCAAGUCGAGCGGAUGAAGGGAGCUUGCUCCUGGAUUCAGCGGCGGACGGGUGAGUAAUGCCUAGGAAUCUGCCUGGUAGUGGGGGAUAACGUCCGGAAACGGGCGCUAAUACCGCAUACGUCCUGAGGGAGAAAGUGGGGGAUCUUCGGACCUCACGCUAUCAGAUGAGCCUAGGUCGGAUUAGCUAGUUGGUGGGGUAAAGGCCUACCAAGGCGACGAUCCGUAACUGGUCUGAGAGGAUGAUCAGUCACACUGGAACUGAGACACGGUCCAGACUCCUACGGGAGGCAGCAGUGGGGAAUAUUGGACAAUGGGCGAAAGCCUGAUCCAGCCAUGCCGCGUGUGUGAAGAAGGUCUUCGGAUUGUAAAGCACUUUAAGUUAGGAGGAAGGGCAGUAAGUUAAUACCUUGCUGUUUUGACGUUACCAACAGAAUAAGCACCGGCUAACUUCGUG